UGACCGGUGGCCCAAGUAGCAUAAUCCAUUGUCUUUUAAUUAAAGGCUUGUAUGAAUGGUUGGAUGAGAUAUCAACUAUUUUUAUUUUAACAAAAAUGAAUUUUAAUUUUUAGUAAAAAUGCUAAAAUAAAAAAAUUAGACGAGAAGACCCUAUAAAUCUUUAUUUUUAAAAGAUAAUAUUAAUUUUGUAAAUUAUAAAAUAUUUAUUUUUUAAAAAUUUAAUUGGGAGGAUAAUGAAAUUUAAUAAACUUUUAUUUUGUUUUAUAAAUAUAAUUAAAUUUAUGAAUAUAUUAUAAUGUUUAGAAAAUUAAGUUACUUUAGGGAUAACAGCGUAAUUAUUUUAAAGAGUUCUUAUCGAUAAAAUAGUUUGCGACCUCGAUGUUGAAUUAAGAAUUAAUUAGGCGCAAAAGUUA
Molecule: ribosomal RNA, 413 nt
Filed under: Culicoides pseudopallidipennis
Lineage: Eukaryota; Metazoa; Arthropoda; Insecta; Diptera; Ceratopogonidae
Description: partial 16S ribosomal RNA
Source: RNAcentral